GAUGAACGCUGGCGGCGUGCUUAACACAUGCAAGUCGAACGGAAAGGCUCCUGCUUGCAGGGGUACUCGAGUGGCGAACGGGUGAGUAACACGUGGGUGAUCUGCCCUGCACUUCGGGAUAAGCCUGGGAAACUGGGUCUAAUACCGGAUAGGACGAUGGUUUGGAUGCCAUUGUGGAAAGUUUUUCGGUGUGGGAUGAGCUCGCGGCCUAUCAGCUUGUUGGUGGGGUAAUGGCCUACCAAGGCGUCGACGGGUAGCCGGCCUGAGAGGGUGUACGGCCACAUUGGGAAUGAGAUACGGCCCAGACUCCUACGGGAGGCAGCAGUGGGGAAUAUUGCACAAUGGGCGCAAGCCUGAUGCAGCGACGCCGCGUGGGGGAUGACGGCCUUCGGGUUGUAAACUCCUUUCGCUAGGGACGAAGCGCAAGUGACGGUACCUGGAGAAGAAGCACCGGCUAACUACGUG
RNAcentral lists this ribosomal RNA (465 nucleotides) under uncultured bacterium. RNAcentral's name for it is "partial 16S ribosomal RNA". It matches the Rfam family "Bacterial small subunit ribosomal RNA", at positions 28 to 507 of the family's 1533-position model. The record is from RNAcentral.